Molecule: ribosomal RNA, 451 nt
Filed under: uncultured bacterium
Lineage: Bacteria
Description: partial 16S ribosomal RNA
Rfam family: Bacterial small subunit ribosomal RNA
Source: RNAcentral
CUACGGGGGGCAGCAGUGGGGAAUAUUGCGCAAUGGGCGAAAGCCUGACGCAGCCACGCCGCGUGUGUGAUGAAGGCCUUCGGGUUGUAAAGCACUGUCGGGAGGGAAGAAGGCACUUCGGUGCUUGACGGUACCUCGCAAGAAAGCGCCGGCUAACUCCGUGCCAGCAGCCGCGGUAAUACGGAGGGCGCAAGCGUUGCUCGGAAUUACUGGGCGUAAAGCGCACGCAGGCGGCUGAUCAAGUCGGGUGUGAAAUCCCCGGGCUCAACCUGGGAACUGCACUCGAAACUGAUCGGCUCGAGUACGUGAGAGGGAAGCGGAAUUCCUGGUGUAGAGGUGACAUUCGUAGAUAUCAGGAGGAACACCGGUGGCGAAAGCGGCUUCCUGGCGCGUCACUGACGCUGAUGUGCGAAAGCGUGGGGAGCAAACAGGAUUAGAUACCCCAGUAGUC